This is a non-coding RNA of Pantherophis guttatus, 539 nucleotides long. The record is from RefSeq and is a predicted model, not a curated record. Lineage: Eukaryota; Metazoa; Chordata; Lepidosauria; Squamata; Colubridae.
CAUGUCUUACUUCACAAAGAACAGCUCUGUCUUUGAAAAGCUGUCCAGUCCGUGUCCCUGUUAAAGAAAAAUAUCUCUCGGGGAGAACAGCACUGCCUUUGGUAGUGAGCUCACAAUGAAUACCUGGAUGAUAGGCAACGUAGUUCCACAGCUUUCCUGGCACAGCUUUCCUCAUUAAGGUGCUGUAAAGGGCAGGAGAACAGCAGUCUGUACCUUAAGAGUGUGGAAAUGCUAAAGAAGGUGGUCAGAAUUGGUAGCUGAGAUUCUGUUAUGCAUCAGAGAUGACAGAACAACUUGGGAAGACAGUCAUGCGAAGGGAAUAACACUUGUCAACCCAGUACAGGUAUCAUGACACGAGAGAAACUGAAGAUGAAGGAGCGGGAUGGGACUUAUAUACUAAGGAGGCGGAGUCAAGAUUCCACCUUCCCGCCCCUUCACCUUCUGUUCCAGCUGCCGAGCCUUCUGUCUUCUCAGCAACAUCUGGUUCCAGGCUUCUUCAUAAGGAUCUGCUACCAAGGUGUGUCGAUUAUAUGACCGCA